Long non-coding RNA from Sus scrofa (pig), 407 nucleotides. RefSeq lists it as uncharacterized. The record is from RefSeq and is a predicted model, not a curated record. Lineage: Eukaryota; Metazoa; Chordata; Mammalia; Artiodactyla; Suidae.
UAGGAAUCUCAGACACAGAAAGGAUAGCUGUGGCUUUCUCUCAAGGAUCUGAGCAUGCAGUAGGUUUUUGCCAUUGAGUUCAUUUGUGGAUCCAGGAGGUCUUGAAAGAGGACAUCAAAGUAACUUGCCAUUGAAGCUUUUUUGCUUGGAGAAUCAUGCAGCUGCGAUGGGAUUGCCUGUGGAAAGGGCCAUGUGGCAGGGAUGUGGAGGUGGCCUCAAGGAGCUGGAGACCUCAGUGAUGCAGUUGUGAGGACCUGGAUUCUUCCAGGCACUUCAUGGGCUCUGAAAGGGACCCCACAGACUACAGCUCUGACUCACACCACGAUUGCAGCCAGUGAGACCCUUGGCAGAAAAUCAGAAAUGGCCCAUUGCUUUCAUUAUACUGUACUAGCCCGUGGGAUUCAGCU